Long non-coding RNA from Suricata suricatta (meerkat), 185 nucleotides. RefSeq lists it as uncharacterized. NCBI's taxonomy places the organism in Eukaryota, Metazoa, Chordata, Mammalia, Carnivora, Herpestidae. The transcript is spliced from 3 exons. The record is from RefSeq and is a predicted model, not a curated record.
UGAAAGAAAGCUUCAUCCGCUUCGCCAAAUCCAUGGGCCUCACAGAUCAACACAUCAUCUUCGCUAUUCCCUUCGCUGAGUGCAUGGAUAUGUGAGCAAACGUGAGGGCACCUGCUCAGCUGUCCCCACCAGCCUGGGCACCACUGAGAUCGCCUGGAGACCAUUGUCACUGCACAGGCCACCGG